Cavia aperea (Brazilian guinea pig) is the source of this 84-nucleotide small nucleolar RNA. Its record names the gene SNORD116. It matches the Rfam family "Small nucleolar RNA SNORD116". Rfam says of the family: HBII-85 is a member of the C/D class of snoRNAs, which contain the C (UGAUGA) and D (CUGA) box motifs. HBII-85 is encoded in a tandemly repeated array with another C/D snoRNA, HBII-52, in the Prader-Willi syndrome (PWS) region of chromosome 15. Unlike most other snoRNAs, HBII-85 is expressed prevalently in the brain (but is absent in PWS patients) and lacks any significant complementarity with ribosomal RNA. NCBI's taxonomy places the organism in Eukaryota, Metazoa, Chordata, Mammalia, Rodentia, Caviidae. The record is from Ensembl.
AGAUCAAUGAUGACACCCAAAGUACAUUCCUUGGAGCUGACCAAAAUGACGAGAACUCUAAACUGUCCUCGUCAUGACAGGUCC